GACUAGACAGGAGCUGACCCCCUCUCCAGAAGCCUAUGGCGCAAGAGACAACUGAGCUGGAAGUCUGUGUCAGUGCCUCUGGAAUAGAAAGUGAAGAAAGACAAUUUCAGACGUUUAAAGGCUGAAACAGUCAGUCAGAGACAGGCUUUCACUGUAAGAUAUGUUUUCUUAAAAAAAAUCCUUCAAGCAGAAGAAAAUUGACAGCUGAUAGAAAUCUCCAUCCACACAGAGGUCGAGAGAAGCUCAACAAACAGUAAACCUGGUAUUGCUGAUGUCAGAGGCCAACUUGCAGAACAUAGUUCUCUCCUGCUACCAUGUGCUCUCAGGGAUCACCCUGAGGUCUUCAGGCUUGGUGGAAGGAUCUUUACUCUCUUGCUAAGCCCUACUGUGAACCUGGCUCUUGGCAGGUGUUCCUUGAGUAUCGACUGUGAGCAUGGAAAACUGGAGCCUGCCUUUCCUGUCUUUUGGUACAGUAGUGUGUCACACUGGUCCACCAUCUGCCCUGGGUUCUUUCCCUGCUUGUCCUCCACUCCAAGCAUCUGCUAGGUGAUAUCGAAAACUUACCAAGAAACUGCACACUCUCAGAUAGGGUCGCACUCAGGAGUCUAGUCUGUCCUUGAACUUGCAGCAGUCCUCCUGCCUCAGCUCCACUGAGUGCUCAGACUACAGGUAUGUACCACCAUACUUGGCUACUGCUGUCACAGUGCAACAGACAGCCACAUAGGAGAGAUGUUUACCUAGGAUCUAGCCUGUCCUUGGUGCCAAUAAGAGAAGAAGGGUAGGGUAAGGUCCCUUGGGCUGUGAGAAAGUCACCUCCCUGUAUCCUGAGCAGCUUCUAUGAUGGUCUCACACAUGACCUGUCCUUUCUGCUCUCUUGACACGAUGCUGUGGUUAUGUGGAGCCCAGGCCCCAACAGGGUGCACAUUUUCAAAUGAAUAAAACCUCAAAGUGUCAUUAUUGAAACACAGUUAAGAGACAUUUACAUUU
Long non-coding RNA from Mus musculus (house mouse), 987 nucleotides. RefSeq annotates it as predicted gene, 34014. The record is from RefSeq and is a predicted model, not a curated record. Lineage: Eukaryota; Metazoa; Chordata; Mammalia; Rodentia; Muridae. The transcript has 3 exons.